This 646-nucleotide ribosomal RNA is filed under the name uncultured Glomeromycotina. RNAcentral's name for it is "SSU rRNA". It matches the Rfam family "Eukaryotic small subunit ribosomal RNA", at positions 373 to 1022 of the family's 1831-position model. Lineage: Eukaryota; Fungi; Glomeromycota. The record is from RNAcentral.
GGGCACGACACCGGAGAGGGAGCCUGAGAAACGGCUACCACAUCCAAGGAAGGCAGCAGGCGCGCAAAUUACCCAAUCCCGACACGGGGAGGUAGUGACAAUAAAUAACAAUACAGGGUUCUUUUGGAUCUUGUAAUUGGAAUGAGUACAAUUUAAAUCUCUUAACGAGGAACAAUUGGAGGGCAAGUCUGGUGCCAGCAGCCGCGGUAAUUCCAGCUCCAAUAGCGUAUAUUAAAGUUGUUGCAGUUAAAAAGCUCGUAGUUGAAUUUCGGGAUCAAUGUUUCGGUCAUGCCGUUGGUAUGUACUGAUAUUAUUGAUUUCUCACCUUCUAAAGAACCGUAAUGCCAUUAAUUUGGUGUCACGGGGAAUUAGGACUGUUACCUUGAAAAAAUUAGAGUGUUUAAAGCAGGCUCACGCUUGAAUACAUUAGCAUGGAAUAAUGAAAUAGGACAUCCGAUUCUAUUUUGUUGGUUUCUAGGAUCGAUGUAAUGAUUAAUAGGGAUAGUUGGGGGCAUUAGUAUUCAAUUGUCAGAGGUGAAAUUCUUGGAUUUAUUGAAGACUAACUACUGCGAAAGCAUUUGCCAAGGAUGUUUUCAUUAAUCAAGAACGAAAGUUAGGGGAUCGAAGACGAUCAGAUACCGUCGUA